GAAAAAUAUGGAGAGAGAGAGGUUCAUUCUGGCUGGGGAAACCAAUUAGUAGAUGAGGUAGCAUUUCUACCUAACCUUGAAGAAUGAGCAGCACCUGACCUGGGAAGAUGGAAAGAGAGAGACACCUGUGUAGACAAACAAGGUCCUCAGGUGAAGGUGAUGCUGCUGGCCUAAAGACCACAUUUCAAGAACCACUGCUGUAUUGCACUCUACUGGUUCUCAACCAUGGAUGUUCAUUAAGGUCAUCUGAGGAGCUUCUAAAAAGUACUCAGGCCUGUGCCCUGCCUCAGACCAGUUGACCGGGAGGCCCUGAGGAUGGGAAAUAGGUGGAGGUCGUUUUUCAAAGCUCCCAGGUGAUAACCCAGGUCAGCACUUCUCAUAUUCUCUCGUGCAUAGGAAUUUUGUCAAGAUGCAGGUUCCUUUUUAGUAGGUCUGGGUUGAGGCCUGAGGUUAUGCAUUUCUAAUGAGUUUCCAGCAGAUGUCAAUGCUCCUGGCCAGUAGACCAGCAAGGCUCAAGGAAAUUCAAUAUUCUUCUUCCUUUUUCUUCCCACUUUUCUCUCCAAGUUUCUAUUUAGUGCUUGAUUCAGUCUCUCUGCCCCCAGUGCAAUGUCUCAAUGCAAUGCUGCCCCAACACACCAUCCCUGAACCCCAA
Molecule: long non-coding RNA, 652 nt
Filed under: Homo sapiens (human)
Lineage: Eukaryota; Metazoa; Chordata; Mammalia; Primates; Hominidae
Description: HSALNT0205666
Source: RNAcentral